CCUACGGGAGGCAGCAGUGAGGAAUAUUGGUCAAUGGGCGGGAGCCUGAACCAGCCAAGUCGCGUGAGGGAAGACGGUCCUAUGGAUUGUAAACCUCUUUAGGCGGGGAGCAAUGCCGGGCACGCGUGUCCGGAGGGAGAGUACCCGCAGAAUAAGCAUCGGCUAACUCCGUGCCAGCAGCCGCGGUAAUACGGAGGAUGCGAGCGUUAUCCGGAUUUAUCGGGUUUAAAGGGUGCGUAGGCGGGAUGCCAAGUCAGCGGUAAAAAUGCGGGGCUCAACGCCGUCGAGCCGUUGAAACUGGGGUU
This 305-nucleotide ribosomal RNA is filed under the name uncultured bacterium. Its description in RNAcentral is "bacterial SSU rRNA". It matches the Rfam family "Bacterial small subunit ribosomal RNA", at positions 338 to 640 of the family's 1533-position model. The record is from RNAcentral.